Molecule: long non-coding RNA, 1345 nt
Filed under: Nicotiana benthamiana
Lineage: Eukaryota; Viridiplantae; Streptophyta; Magnoliopsida; Solanales; Solanaceae
Description: long non-coding RNA (NBEN_LNC033170)
Source: RNAcentral
AAAACAGAUACAAACAGGAGUAAGCAAACAAAAAGAAACAGGACAAAUCUGAUUUAUAUAAGAACUUGUAAUAAACUAAUUCCAAAAGGUCAUUAUUUUCAAGACUAUUUUAAUUUUAGCAUCUUCCAACUAGAAACCUCCAAAAUCGCUAUUUCAUACAUAAAUAGAAAAGAAAGACAAAUGGAGAAGUCAAUGUCUUUUAACAGGUUGAGUAUCAUUGUAAAAAUCACACCAUAAAAGAACAUAGAAUCCACGAAAGCCAACCAUUUGAGCAACAAAAAUAUUCAACCCAUGAACAGAUAUAUGGAAAUUCCCAGCAACACGUUGGACAUCCAAAACACCAUAGACCUGCAAUAAACAAUACAAUUACCAUUGCUUAUUUAGUCCAAGUGGUAUAACAGUAUGAAUCUCCAAACCUUUUUCCUAAUCUUACCAUUGCUUAUUUAGUCCAAGUGGUAUAGCGGUAUGAAUCUCCAAACCUUUUUCCUAAUCUUAUUUCUGAGGCAUAAAGGAAAAAGAGAGAAGAAUAACAAAUAAAUAAUAAGCAAAAAAUGAAAGAGGCACAUACUCAUGGUAUAUAUAAGGUAAAUUUUAUUUUUAUUUUUAUAUAUUAUAUUCUGAAUCCCCUUAACAUAGCUCAAAAGCAUAGCUCAAUGGUCAAGGUGGUUCAAAACCUUUGUGAGGUUGAUAGUUUAAUUCCUACUAGGCACAACAUCUUUCAAUUUUAUAACUUUUUACUUGUUUGAACCUGUUAACAGAAAUUCUGCCUCCGCCACUUAUUGCAAGAUAAGUCUUUUAUCUUUUAUUUUUAUGCUACAGAGAUAAGAUUCUCAGUGGCGGACUAUAUGUCGCCAUUUGAGUAGCGACAUAACUUAAAUUUAUUUGUAAUGCAUUUGUUAACUUUUUGCAGCAAUAUGACAUAUAAGUGUCAACUUACCAACCUCUGGUUAAUAUUCCAAAAAUCUGCAGUGGUUAAAAACAUAUACAAACAGGAGUAAGCAAAAAAAAAGAAACAGGACAAAUCUGAUUUAUAUAAGAACUUCUAAUAAACUAAUUCCAAAAGGUCAUUAUUUUCAAGACUAUUUUAAUUUUAGCAUCUUCCAACUAGAAACCUCCAAAGAUCGCUGUUUCAUACAUAAAUAGAAAAGAAAGACAAAUGGAGAAGUCAAUGUCUUUUAACAGGUUGAGUAUCAUUGUAAAAAUCACACCAUAAAAGAACAUAGAAUCCACGAAAGCCAACCAUUUGAGCAACAAAAAUAUUCAACCCAUGAACAGAUAUAUGGAAAUUCCCAGCAACACGUUGGACAUCCAAAACACCAUAGACCUGCAAUAAACAAUACAAUUA